This 372-nucleotide ribosomal RNA is filed under the name uncultured bacterium. Its description in RNAcentral is "bacterial SSU rRNA". It matches the Rfam family "Bacterial small subunit ribosomal RNA", at positions 525 to 896 of the family's 1533-position model. The record is from RNAcentral.
ACAGAGGGUGCAAGCGUUAAUCGGAAUUACUGGGCGUAAAGGGCGCGUAGGCGGUUAGGUAAGUCGGAUGUGAAAUCCCCGGGCUCAACCUGGGAAUUGCAUUCGAUACUGCUUAGCUAGAGUGUGGAAGAGGGAAGCGGAAUUUCCGGUGUAGCGGUGAAAUGCGUAGAUAUCGGAAGGAACACCAGUGGCGAAGGCGGCUUCCUGGUCCAACACUGACGCUGAGGCGCGAAAGCGUGGGGAGCGAACAGGAUUAGAUACCCUGGUAGUCCACGCUGUAAACGAUGAGAACUAGAUGUUGGGAGGUAUAACCUCUCAGUGUCGCAGCUAACGCAUUAAGUUCUCCGCCUGGGGAGUACGGCCGCAAGGUUG